UACGAAGGGUGCAAGCGUUAAUCGGAAUUACUGGGCGUAAAGCGUGCGUAGAUGGUUCAUUAAGUCGGAUGUGAAAGCCCCGGGCUCAACCUGGGAAUGGCAUCCGAUACUGGUGGACUAGAGUGCGGUAGAGGAGAGCGGAAUUCCCGGUGUAGCGGUGAAAUGCGUAGAGAUCGGGAGGAACAUCCGUGGCGAAGGCGGCUCUCUGGACCAGCACUGACGUUGAGGCACGAAAGCGUGGGGAGCAAACAGG
This 253-nucleotide ribosomal RNA is filed under the name uncultured bacterium. RNAcentral describes it as "partial 16S ribosomal RNA". It matches the Rfam family "Bacterial small subunit ribosomal RNA", at positions 524 to 776 of the family's 1533-position model. The record is from RNAcentral.